Portunus trituberculatus (swimming crab) is the source of this 1535-nucleotide long non-coding RNA. RefSeq lists it as uncharacterized. NCBI's taxonomy places the organism in Eukaryota, Metazoa, Arthropoda, Malacostraca, Decapoda, Portunidae. The record is from RefSeq and is a predicted model, not a curated record. The transcript has 4 exons.
AACAGGAGUUCCAGUGGAGGCCGGAAGGCGGCAUGGCAGUAGGGAGGUUAGCUGGUGUGUGCUGCUACACUAAUCUGCUUAUAUCGCUGGAAUCCUUCUGUGAACAUCAAUUCCACACACGGAUCAUCCACUAAAACAUCCCUGGACAUCACACAGCUGCAAAAACUGGUUAUCAGGAGCAUUAAACACAACUAAGGAGAGCGGUGGCCGGCUAGUGACAUGGCAGUGGUGUUGUGUGAGGACUGCUGUGCUGCCACCUAGAAGUCUGCAAAAGAACAUUGUGAUACCGACUAGAAAUGACACGACGAAAUUUGCAGUUGCUAUGUCGCGUAGGUCAAGACGCGUGACCUGACACGACCCAGGUGAGGGACCCAAGGGGAAAUGACGACCAGGUGAGGACCACCACCACAACCCCACCUUAAAUGGACUUCACAACGUGAAUAGUGUAGUUGUCUGAAUGUACUAUAGUACGUACUUCAUGCCGUGUUUACGUUGUUGUCGGUGGUGGCAGCUAUCUGUUUAUCAUGUUUCUUUUCUGAAGUUCACAAGGACACGUAAAGGAUUUUUUCAUCGGAUAAUCUAAUCACUAUCGUUUUGAUGCUUAGCAGAUGUUGCUGCGGCCAUGAUCAGGGAUCAAAAUUUAGUGCCGAGAGGAGAAACGGAGGAAGGAUGAGGCAUUUGCGUCCAGUGUUGCCAGAUUGUCAGAAAUUUUUGGAUAUCUUCUGAAAUUUUGACAUUUUGUCAGAAAUUAAGAAAUUAUUGUAAACUCUACAGAAAAUUUGACAAAUUGUCAAAUUUUGGUUUGUCCUCCCAAAAUAAAAUUUUAGCAGCCAUAUACUCCUAUAUCACGGCAAGACCCGAUGACAUAAUGCCGCAUGAACUAAUUUAUACACAGAAACCACAUUCAAGGCUCUCUCGUACCCAUAGAACUUGCCAGCCAACCCAGCAAUGUAUGAGAACCUCCGUGGUGCCAGCGGGCAGCGCCUGUGGUUAUCCAUUGCUACUGUGUUCAUUGAAAUGUCCAUUUUGGAUAGAUAAUCUUUGUGUAUAGAAGUCAAUAAGAUUGUACACUACCUCGUGGUAUAACUACUAUAUAAUACCUAGUAAAUUAUAUUUAUAUAACCUCAAUUACUCGUACCUUAAUUUACGCUUUGUUACUGUGUUAGAUGAAAGAAUGUGUCUUUAUUUAUGAUGAUCUUUCUAUGUUGUUCCGUAGCAGUCAAUGUGGUGCAAUUGAAUUAACUGCUUAAUUUUAAUUAAUUGAUUAAAACUAUUGAAUGAGUUGACGUGCUGUUAUUGAAUAAUAUGCUCUCUCAUGACUAGAUCUGUUUAUGGUUUCUGUGUUAUUUGAAAGACUACCUUUUUAUUUGUGAUAUUAUGAUACACAUCUGUAAAAUCAGGAUAAUACAGAUGUAAAUACAUUCAUGAGUUAUAGAUGCAAUUGUUUUCAAUAUCCUUGUAGAAAACAUUUCAUAUGGUAUAUAUUUAAUGAAUAUAAAACAAUACGCACUGCAUUCAUUGUAUUUUAACGUAUU